RNAcentral lists this ribosomal RNA (314 nucleotides) under uncultured bacterium. RNAcentral describes it as "bacterial SSU rRNA". It matches the Rfam family "Bacterial small subunit ribosomal RNA", at positions 32 to 334 of the family's 1533-position model. The record is from RNAcentral.
GACGUAACGCUGGCGGCGCGCCUAACACAGUGCAAGUCGAACGAGCGAGAGAGAGCUUGCUUUCUCAAGCGAGUGGCGAACGGGUGAGUAACGCGUGAGGAACCUGCCUCAAAGAGGGGGACAACAGUUGGAAACGACUGCUAAAUACCGCAUAAGCCCACAGCUCGGCAUCGAGCAGAGGGAAAAGGAGUGAUCCGCUUUGAGAUGGCCUCGCGUCCGAUUAGCUGGUUGGUGAGGUAACGGCCCACCAAGGCGACGAUCGGUAGCCGGACUGAGAGGUUGAACGGCCACAUUGGGACUGAGACACGGCCCAG